GCGGGUGUCGUAUAAUGGUUAUUACAUCAGCUUCCCAAGCUGAUGAAGGCGGUUCGAUUCCGCUCACCCGCU
RNAcentral lists this transfer RNA (72 nucleotides) under bacterium. RNAcentral's name for it is "tRNA-Gly". It matches the Rfam family "tRNA". Rfam says of the family: Transfer RNA (tRNA) molecules are approximately 80 nucleotides in length. RNAcentral also lists the same sequence under 1 other name. The record is from RNAcentral.